Molecule: unclassified non-coding RNA, 1134 nt
Filed under: Schistocerca americana (American grasshopper)
Lineage: Eukaryota; Metazoa; Arthropoda; Insecta; Orthoptera; Acrididae
Description: uncharacterized LOC124605177, transcript variant X1
Source: RNAcentral
GCAGACUGUUCCAGAAGGUCUGUUUCCGUACGACCGACCGUGACGUCGCGGCUCGCAAUUGGACGGCGCGCCUCCGCGACCGGGCGGGCCCCUCUCCCGUGUAUAUAGAGGCGGGCGCAGCGCCGCGCGCGCGCCAGUGGCGGCAUGGCGUACUACCGACGCAACACGCUGCGCUGCGAGUUCGCGGGCGGCGCCGACCGGCCGACGGAGCGCGACGUGCACCGCUGGGUGCGCACGCAGCUGCGCGUGCCCGACGCCGAGCUGAAGGCGCUGCAGCUGCACACCCAGCACGCCGUCGCCUUCCUCAAGCUGCGCUCGGACGCCGCCUUCCUGCAGCUGGCGGAGCGCCUCUGCGGCGGCGGCGGCGGCGCCGCGCUGCAGCUGCAGUCGGGCAAGCUGACGCCCGUGCGCGUCUCCGUGGCCGACGACGACGGCGGCGUCGAGGUGCGCGUCUUCGACGUGCCGCUCGAGGUGCCGGACGCCGAGUUCCGGCGCGCGCUGGCGCCCUACGGCAAGGUGCGCCACGUGCGGCGCGAGGUGUCGGCGCCCGGCUGCGAGUACCGCGUCGCGACGGGCGUGCGUUCCCUGCGGCUGGUGCCGCGCGACGGCGACGGCGCCGGCUGGGACCCGCCGCUGCAGCUGCCGGCGACGCUGGAGAUCGGCGGGCACCGGGGGGCGCUGCAGCUGAGCCGCGAGGCGUCGUGGUGCGCCACGUCGAGCCGCGAGGACGGCGCCUGCCGCGGCUGCGACGCCGGGUCGCCGGUGCGGCCGCCGCGCCGCUGCCCCAGGGACGUGGCGCUGGUGCGCGCCUUCCUGGCGCACAGCGGCGAGUGGCCGCCGCCCGAUGACGUCACGGGCGCCGCGCCCGCCGAGGACGCCUGCCACCUGGAACAGCGGCGCGCCGCAUAGCCGCACGGCCCACUCUGCCCCGCAGGGUGGGAUACCGAACGAGUCGCCGCGACCGGCGCUCACUUCUGUGCAAUCGUCCACAGCAGCGAAGAGAUGGUCCACACAUCCACAGGGGAAAUGCCAACUGCUUCAUGGUUUGAGGAAGAUACCAAACAACCAGUAACAGAUGUUGUAGGCAGCUCCUCUGGGAUGAAGUGCCAGCAAGGUGCCACAUGGUUUCAUUAA